UGGGGGAAUAUUGCACAAUGGGGGGAAACCCUGAUGCAGCGACGCCGCGUGAGCGAAGAAGUAUUUCGGUAUGUAAAGCUCUAUCAGCAGGGAAGAUAAUGACGGUACCUGACUAAGAAGCCCCGGCUAACUACGUGCC
This 139-nucleotide ribosomal RNA is filed under the name uncultured bacterium. RNAcentral describes it as "partial 16S ribosomal RNA". It matches the Rfam family "Bacterial small subunit ribosomal RNA", at positions 354 to 509 of the family's 1533-position model. The record is from RNAcentral.